RNAcentral lists this ribosomal RNA (253 nucleotides) under uncultured bacterium. Its description in RNAcentral is "partial 16S ribosomal RNA". It matches the Rfam family "Bacterial small subunit ribosomal RNA", at positions 524 to 776 of the family's 1533-position model. The record is from RNAcentral.
UACGUAGGGUGCGAGCGUUAAUCGGAAUUACUGGGCGUAAAGCGUGCGCAGGCGGUUCUGUAAGUCAGCUGUGAAAGCCCCGGGCUUAACCUGGGAAUGGCAUUUGGGACUGCAAGGCUGGAGUUUGGCAGAGGAGACUGGAAUUCCUGGUGUAGCAGUGAAAUGCAUAGAUAUCUGGAGGAACACCGGUGGCGAAGGCGGCAUCCUGGACCAAUAUUAACGCUGAGGAGCGAAAGCCAGGGGAGCAAACGGG